AGCAGUCGCCGCGGUAAUACGUAGGUGGCAAGCGUUGUCCGGAAUUAUUGGGCGUAAAGGGCUCGCAGGCGGUUUCUUAAGUCUGAUGUGAAAGCCCCCGGCUCAACCGGGGAGGGUCAUUGGAAACUGGGAAACUUGAGUACAGAAGAGGAGAGUGGAAUUCCACGUGUAGCGGUGAAAUGCGUAGAGAUGUGGAGGAACACCAGUGGCGAAGGCGACUCUCUGGUCUGUAACUGACGCUGAGGUGCGAAAGCGUGGGGAGCAAACAGGAUUAGAUACCCCUGUAGUCCCUGUCUCUUAUAC
Molecule: ribosomal RNA, 303 nt
Filed under: uncultured bacterium
Lineage: Bacteria
Description: partial 16S ribosomal RNA
Rfam family: Bacterial small subunit ribosomal RNA
Source: RNAcentral